Molecule: ribosomal RNA, 229 nt
Filed under: uncultured bacterium
Lineage: Bacteria
Description: partial 16S ribosomal RNA
Rfam family: Bacterial small subunit ribosomal RNA
Source: RNAcentral
UGAGCAAUCUGCCCUUCUCAUCGGAAUAAGCGUUGGAAACGACGUCUAAUGCCGAAUACGACCUCCUUUCGCAUGAUCGGAGGUGGAAAGCUCCGGCGGAGAAGGAUGAGCUCGCGGCCUAUCAGCUAGUUGGUGUGGGUAAUGGCUCACCAAGGCGACGACGGGUAGCCGGCCUGAGGAGGGCGAUCGGCCACACUGGGACUGAGACACGGCCCAGACCUCUACGGGA